This 499-nucleotide ribosomal RNA is filed under the name uncultured bacterium. RNAcentral describes it as "partial 16S ribosomal RNA". It matches the Rfam family "Bacterial small subunit ribosomal RNA", at positions 30 to 523 of the family's 1533-position model. The record is from RNAcentral.
AUUGAACGCUGGCGGCAUGCUUUACACAUGCAAGUCGAACGGUAACAGGGUGCUUGCACCGCUGACGAGUGGCGAACGGGUGAGUAAUGCGUCGGAACGUGCCGAGUAGUGGGGGAUAACGCAGCGAAAGUUGUGCUAAUACGGCAUACGUACUGAGGUAGAAAGUGGGGGACCUUCGGGCCUCACGCUAUUCGAGCGGCCGACGUCUGAUUAGCUAGUAGGUGAGGUAAAGGCUCACCUAGGCGACGAUCAGUAGCGGGUCUGAGAGGAUGAUCCGCCACACUGGGACUGGGACACGGCCCAGCCUCCUACGGGAGGCAGCAGUGGGGAAUUUUGGACAAUGGGCGAAAGCCUAAUCAGCCAUGCCGCGUGUCUGAAGAAGGCCUUCGGGUUGUAAAGGACUUUUGUCAGGGAGGAAAUCCCUAGUGCUAAUAACACUGGGGGAUGACAGUACCUGAAGAAUAAGCACCGGCUAACUACGUGCCAGCAGCCGCCGUAA